CCCUUAGAUGUUCUGGGCCGCACGCGCGCUACACUGAUUCAUGCAACAAGUUUUGUCCUUGGCUGAUAGGCCUGGGUAAUCUUUGAACGUGAAUCGUGAUGGGGAUAGAUGAUUGCAAUUAUUCAUCUUCAACGAGGAAUUCCUAGUAAACGCAAGUCAUCAGCUUGCAUUGAUUACGUCCCUGCCCUUUGUACACACCGCCCGUCGCACCUACCGAUUGAAUGGUCCGGUGAGAUCUUCGGAUCUGAGAGAUGUCUGAUUAAUUUCGGACGCCUUUUGGAAAAGUUGUUUAAACCUUACCAUUUAGAGGAAGGUGAAGUCGUAACA
RNAcentral lists this ribosomal RNA (327 nucleotides) under uncultured eukaryote. Its description in RNAcentral is "partial 18S ribosomal RNA". It matches the Rfam family "Eukaryotic small subunit ribosomal RNA", at positions 1470 to 1796 of the family's 1831-position model. The record is from RNAcentral.